CACAUAUUGUGGAAAGGAGCUAUAACACCCUUCCUCAGCCAGCGGGGAGUUCCCGACCCUCAGCUCAGCUCCGCAGGCCAGCACCUACUGCGCCUGCCCAACCAAAUAAGAGGCCCAGACCAGCCAUCCAGGCCCCUCCUCAGGCUCCAGGGGCAGCACGUGGAAAGAUCUGUCAGCACUGUGGCAGAGAUCAUGGGAACCGACCAUGCUACCGCCUCAACAACACCUGUCGCAUAUGUGGCAGUGCCCAGCAUUAUGCAAGAGAAUGCCCGAGGAACCAGAAUCAAGAAAGGCCUCCUAUCUAGGGCAGAGCUUACAACCUUACCCAGCAGGAUGCCGACGCCGACCCAGAUGUGGUACAGGGUAUGUAUAUUAUCUGUGACCAUAUUACUCAUGUUUUAUUUGACACUGGUGCAUCGCACUCUUUUGUUUCACAUGUUUUUGCUUCUAAAAUUAAUGUAUCACCUGAUAAACUUGAUUCAUUGUUGUUUGUGUCUACUGCUGGGGUGAAACACUAGUAGAGAAAGUUAUCUACAGGGCUUGU
RNAcentral lists this long non-coding RNA (544 nucleotides) under Carica papaya (papaya). RNAcentral's name for it is "long non-coding RNA (CPAP_LNC016105)". The record is from RNAcentral. Lineage: Eukaryota; Viridiplantae; Streptophyta; Magnoliopsida; Brassicales; Caricaceae.